This is a long non-coding RNA of Culex pipiens pallens (northern house mosquito), 7179 nucleotides long. RefSeq lists it as uncharacterized. NCBI's taxonomy places the organism in Eukaryota, Metazoa, Arthropoda, Insecta, Diptera, Culicidae. The transcript has 3 exons. The record is from RefSeq and is a predicted model, not a curated record.
CGUUCUAGCCAUUUACAGUGGUGCCAGAGUGUUGGCCGGAACUGCUGCGGCUGUUCCUGUAAGCGAGUCGUGGAUUUCUGGAAUGCUUCGCCAACCACCAGUUUUCGGAGACUCGAAGCUGCCCGCCGGGCGAGCAAUGAAGUUCCGACCGGAGUAAGUUGAAAGUUGAAGUAGAGUAAGUUGAAAGGAGGAAUCGGAAUUGAAGGCAUUUCUAACAAUCUCCCGCCUUAUCAGCUAAACUACAACCAUGGACCAUUGUCGAUCUCGACAAGUUUCCUGCGAUUGCCAUAUUAUCCGUCACUUGGGCCAAACGGUGCGGGUCCACGCAACAGCAGUCAAAACGUACCGUUUUGUUAUUCGAUUGGUGGUUCCCUCCGUUGGCCGACGACGGGGAUCUAUCCUCGGUGGAGGUCGGUUCCGAAUCGAGCCUUGCUCAAGCCCUCCGUACUGGUUUCCCGUCAUACCUCGUGGCAUUAUCCGCCAAAGACGACAGAGCUGCUAACCGUUCGAAGACGCGCAAAUUCCCACCGCAAGCGGAUUGCCUAAACGGUGCCCCCGUCGUACGCUUAAAAUUACCGGCUUGCGGCAUUCGUUCCACGACACCACCACUGCGCUGGCUUUGGCGGACCAAGGUCGUUUGGUUAAGAAAUUUUGCGGGCCAGUGCAGAUUGUAGCAGAGCCAACCUGGAUGAGUUGGCCAACACAACAGCAGAUGAUCCCGUCCUACGAUGCAAGGCAAUACGGGCCAACAUGCGCGACCAAUCAAUAUUUGUGUGCGAUCAUCACGGAUUACAAGUCUUACUAUGGUCAACCGAUGACGUUUACAAUUAAACGGUAAUAAAAGAAUGAUUUAUGCUUUGUUUAAACUAAUAGAUUCGGUCCUGUUUCAGUUCAAUUCGCAGCUAAAAAAGCUAUUUAGCAAAACUUUUGUAAUACACUUACAGUAUCACUUGAUAUCGAUUGAAGAAGAACUGUAAAAACCUUUAAGAAGCUGUAACCGGAUGUCAAAGUUCUGGUAUGCCAACAUUAGGUUCUCGAUGGGAAUUGAUAAAGUUCCCCUAUACCCCCGUUGGAUUUAGAUUUUGAUUUAUUUUUCAUAAGCUAUGAUUUGUACGUUUUUUAUCACUAGGAAUUGGAUGCUUUUGUUUUGUUUUGAGAAUAAAUCAAUUUAAAACUAAACAAUAAGCAUUUCUUACAAAUCGUAAUGCUUUUGAAAAUUACAUCAGAUUCUAGAUUCAACGGGGUAAAAAAAUUUACAUCUUCGGUAAAUUUACGUCGAUUUCAUCGGAAAUUUACAAGUUUUGAAGUCCCUUUUGGUUCGGCUCGUUUACGAUGGAUGGCAUGUAAAUUUAAAAUGAAUCUUAUUUAAAUUAGCAUCAUUAAUGACGUGCACUUUUGGUACAUCAUAAAUGAUGUAAAUUUACCGAAUUUUUUUUUUCUGUGUAGGUUCCCGACGAACACGCACUGCCCUUACACCUACAUCUUACCCUUGCUCUGAAUAAGUACGAGCAAUACGCUAGAACACGCUUUGAGUGUUCGUGCCAGGCAUGCACACCUUCUUUUCCGGUUACGCAUUUUAACUCGGCCGGGGGUGGUACAUUGCGUAGGGUUUGAUGUAAGUAUAAGCGCUUAACCAUUUAAAGUGUGCCUAUCAACUUUCACUAAAGCAAAAACUGUUAGAUUUAAGUUUGAAUUCAAAAACUAGUUGUUAUUUUACUGUGUAUUGUUUUCUCCUGAAAUCUUUCCUAGUGUUGAGUCGUGUUUAUCUGUUGCUAUGAAAAAUUGUGUAUUAAUUGCAAUUAAACGAAUUUCAGCACAAAAAGGAAUCCGCAUCUGCCGGUUGUUGCCUUCUUGAAGCCACUGAAGGAAUUUUUGAUUUAAAUCAAUUGUGCUUCAAAAUUUAUAUAAUUUUGUGGCACAGUCAUUGACGUCCUAGCUGGCAAUCAUUGAUUAAUUACGACUUGAGCAUGAGCAUGAGUUUUGUGACCUCGACAUUUAUUAAACAAAUAACUGAACAGUACAACGAAUUAAAACUAGCUGCGCCAAACGCGCCGGCUGCGCGCGAUGGCGGCUGGAGCUCUUUUGGUGGAUGUCGAGCUCUUGUGACAUCAUCGCUGUGUGGUAGCUUCACUACCACCAGUGAGUCUAGCUGACGAGGGAUGUCCAUUUCUUGCGUAUGCAACAAUGAGCAUGAGAGACCACCCAUGGUUGUCCUUCUCCGUUGCUGAACAGGACCGUAAUAUCCUAUCAAUACAACUGACCAUACGCUUAAACGAUCUAAUGGUGUUUCCCUUAUCAACAGCAUGUAUGAAUGCGUUUAAAAGAUAAAACAUCAAGAUCAUUAAAACUAGAUCUGAAGCAAAUAGGUUACAGUCAUUGGCCACCAACGGCGCCCGCCAUGUCAGUUUGUAGAUCUCGGGGGGAUUGGGACGGGAAUGUUAGUUAGCACAGGUUGCUACAAAGGUCGGGUUCUAUACGAUAUCCACACCCCCACGUGUGCCGGAAAACUACUUCUACUUGGGAUUUUGUUAGUGGGAAAGUGUAAUGGCCAGGAUUCAUCAUAAAGGAUGAUGCGACCCAAUAAUCAAUAAAUUUUGUUUAAUGAUGUGAUGUAUUAUGCAUUCUCAAGGCAAACAGUCGAAGGAUGCGGAUGAGAUUAUUCCCGGUUUUUUGGUGUUGAGUUUAGCAUAAAUGAUUCAAUCUUAGACAGCCGGCUGUGGAAAGAUAAAACCAAAUAAAAUGCGAAAACGCGAAACCGCUCGGACCGAAAAACACACACAAUCGGGGGGAAAAAGACGGAAACGGCAACGAAAAUCCGGCUUGCUGACCGCGACGCGAACCGUUCAAAUUCUCCAAAGCAACUGUCAAACAUCGCAUCGAAAUACACACACAAUCGGGGGGGAAACAGAGACGGAAACGGUAACGAAAAUCCGGCUUGUUUACCGCGACGCGAACCGUUCAAAAUCUCCAAAGCAACUGUCAAACAUCCCGAAAUCACCCGGGUCGAAAUACACACACAAUCGGGGGGGAAACAAAGACGGAAACGGCAACGAAAAUCCUGCGUGUUGACCGCGACGCGAACCGUUCAAAUUCUUCAAAGCAACUGUCAAACAUCCCGAAAUCACCCGGGUCGAAAUACACACACAAUCGGGGGGGAAACAAAGACGGAAACGGCAACGAAAAUCCGGCUUGUUUACCGCGACGCGAACCGUUCAAAUUCUUCAAAGCAACUCAUUGAUUAAUUACGAUUUCCAUAACUUAACAAGGAAUGGGAUAAUCGUUACCAAAAGGAAUUAGCAUGUGUAGGGCAUGAUUCUAAACAACUUGUUGAAGGAAUUUUGUCAAAAUAUUGAAAGCGACGCAAAAUUUAUAACUUUGAAGAAAAAAUCAUGACAAUGAUGGAAGUCUUCACGUUAACCAUUCCAUAAAUUGAGUAUGGGCUCAAACAUCACUUGUUUGAAAAAGGGUGAAGAUUGAAAACAAUAGAAAUAUACAGUAAAAGAGAAUAUAUUUUAACAAAAAUCAAGAUUCAAUAGUAAGAGAAUGAUGAUUGUAUUUUAAAGAAUAAAAAUUAGAAGCUGGAUGUAGUAGAUGUAAAGUUAGACAAUAGUUAAUUAAUAGCGAUAAAAAAAAAACAAGCUUAGAUGAUAGUAAUGAUAAUUUAUAGGACAGAUAAACAAUUAUUCGAAUAAAUAAAUUCGAAAUAAAAUCAAAAAAAGAUUAGGCAAAUUAUAAAUAGACUUGAUAUCACUACACAGAAAAAAAUAUGUGAAUUUACUCGACACGGAAAAAAUGAAUCACAUGUGAACUCAGUUCAUGUAAACUUGAGAUUCGACGUAAACGGUUGAAUCACACGUAAAAUCAUGUUUUUACGUAUAAUUUGUUGCAAAUUUACAUCAAAUUGCAUUUAAAUUUAAUGGUUUAAUGACGUGCAAAAGUGUUACAUCAUAAAUGAUGUAACAUUCGGAAAUAUUUUUUUUGUGUGUAGUACAUUAAGAAAAGUAUAUUUUUAAGGAAAAAAAAACAAAGUUUGUUACAGCAGUAUCAGUUGGUAAAAAAAUGGAAAAGCUUUGAGAGAUAAGAGAAUCAAAAGUUAGUAAAAUCAAAAUCAAAUGAUGGAUAUUAAAUAGAAGAAUCAGUGAAGAAGUAAGAAUCAGUAGAGCAAAAUAAAAAUAGGAGAUAGGUGGUAGCUGAGAAUAAAGCGAAGAGAAACCCCGUUGUGCGAUGUUUCAGGUACAUCCACAGCAGUUGACUCAACAUACUGCGAAUCGAAACAAUACCGUCUACAAUCAUAAAUUACUUCCCUUUCCCACAUUGUCCCGCCCCUUUCUUACAGCCGUCUCGACUCUGUCCCGCGGUGGUCAAAGGUUUACGAGGCGUUUCCACAGGCCAUCAGCUAGGUCGUCAUGAAAACCAAGCCAACGUGGAGGUAAGAAAAUAGGAGCUAUACUGUUCUGAUCAAGAUAAUUCGGAUGAUCUAACAGAACUACGGAUGUAGUUAGUUGCGCUUCUUCCAGGAUGUUCUUUACCUGGACGUCAACCGAAGAGCACGCAACAAGAUCAGUUCCAUUGCAUGCUCUUAGGUAUCAAUCCUUGGCCUGCUAUUUUGGGAAAUUGAGUUUUUAUGAAAAAAAAAGUUAAUAAAAAAAAUCGGCCAUUUAUUUUUUCCGUGUACCAAUUUUUUUCUCAAUAGUACUCAACAAUACCUACAACUUUGCCGAAGACACCAAAUUGAUAAAAAAAAUCCCUCAAUAGUUACAGCUGUUUGAAUAUUUACGUAGCAUUUUUGUAUGGACAGCUGCCAAAAUUGUAUUGAGACUUGUAUGGGUGAACCAAUGCCGCAACAUAGGGAAGGCCCACACAAAGUUUGAGCCAAAUCAAAAAAUACAAAUAAAAUCACUUUCCGGUUUUGGUAGAGAAUUGCUCAGUGGAAUUAUUGACGCAGCUGGAACAAAUUCAAAAGGGUUCAAAUCUAACUUGCAUAACUUUUAUAAUUUCCAGUAUGCUAAAUACUCACCUGUAUGAGAAGUUUCCUUUUACAGUUUGUCAUCCGAGUGGCCAAACAGUGGCAGAAGGACACUUGCGCGGCACAGGUUCCUUCGAAUCGUCGCAAUUAAAAAAAAACUCCUAAAUCACCAGUAUACCGCUACCAAAACAAAUGGUAUGACGUCACACUUUUUGGGCUGUGACUGUGCACGGAGAGAAAAACAAAAAAAAAAUUUUCGUUGCUAAACCUGACAUAUUUUUUUCUCUCCAAUACAACUUUAGAAACAUAUCCAUACCUUUUAAGAAUGGAUUACAUUAGGAUGUACUGCGAGCAAGUGAUGCUGUUAUUCACUAUCACGUGCACCUCGGGUGAUCUCAGGUGCGUUUUAACUACUGCAGUUGAGAUCAACAGCGUCUUGAUAGCUCGAAAAAAAAACAUCGCCGGGAGCAUAACCGGUUCCUCAUCCCGCCAUUCUCCCAUUCGUCAAACGCUUGCGAUUCCAACUGGAACAUAUGCACGGUCAAUUCCUUCGGUGGGGGUUUCUUCGGAUUGGGACGACCAUCCGGAAAUGAUAGCAUUUUUCAGCACGAUGCACAGGCUUGGUACAGAGAAACGAUUCUUCUUUGACGAUUUUUCGGAUGCGUAAACAAUAUGUUGUUCCAUUUAAAUAACUUAAAUUUCUGGUAAAGAUAGCUUCCGUUCCUCUUUCGGAAGGGUCGCCUUUCCACCCACCUCCUGUAACACUUGUUUUUUACCGGUUCUCCUGCUGGCUCCCAAACAUGGACGAAAGAGUAAACAAACUUACGUUUUGUGUCCAAGAUGGCAUUCGAAUCCGUCGCGAAUCUGCUUCAGUCGGAGCAAACUUUAACUUUGCGGCCUGUACCUCGCUGUUUGCGAUGCCACCAGAUGUUCACGUCGGCCUACGUGCCAUAAGGCCGGCGUUACGUCCAGGCGGUCCUUCAUUCUGCGCGGUGACUACGUGAGUGGGUGAUUUGCAAAUCACGGAGGUGUCCUGCAGGAUGGGUAACACGCUAUUGAAUCCACUGCGACCGGUUCCGGAACAACUGCAGGAGUGGCGCGAGCAAUGUUGGGUAACCGGGAAAAAAACCGUCGUUCCAAAUCGAGGGACGUGAUAAAGGCCUUAAUAUAUUAUUUUCGGUAUUUAAUACAUAGAGGAAUUAAAUUCCUAAUGUCAUUUGAGAUUUGACAGCGCCACACCUGCUUUGAAAACAUUGGUUUGCCUCGUGUUUCUUUCGCGCGCUCGGCUGUCAAGUUUGUUUUGGUUUCGCGCUUGUAAAAAAAUGGACUUGUUAAUUAUUGUACUAUCGAAUAUUUCGAGCUGAGUUCUAGACAUUCUUGGUCUCGUUGGAUAAAAAAAGAAAGAUGCGGAGAAGAUUCUGGAGCAGGACGGUGUCAACGUGCCAUAGGCGGAGAAGAGUUGGAGCCGGCAGAAUUUGAUAACAUUGGCCAAGCAAAUCAAAAAGUUGCGAAAGUGCGGUUUCAUCGAUUACGAAGAUCCUGCGAUGGGCCUUGCAGGAUGCAAUUCAAGUUUAAAAAUAACAAUCAGACGUCGGACACCACCAAUAUUUCGUUGCAGCGGGUCGUGGCUUGUGACAGCGAUGUCUUCAACAAGCCGGCACCGGGGGAAAUGAAAUCCUGUGCAUUUACGCUCGGUUGCUGGAGUCAUUAAUCCGGCUAAUGAUUCAGGUAGCUGGCCACUUUAACGCUCGCAGGUUCAGGACCAGGGGCCAAGGAAGAACAAACAUUACCACACACAAAGAAAAAAAUAUUCUAAAUUUAAAUUUUCCAACGAACGAUGGAUUAAAAGUUCGCGUUGGUGAAUAUUCGUAGAAAGUUCAAACUUUUUAAUUUAAAAGUUGAAAAGUUUUUGAUACUACCAUGCAUUUAUGGAACAAAAUCGUUGUAUCGGUAAAAGUGUUUUACUUUUAAUUAGAUAAGAAACCUUUUAUGGCAAGAAUAAACAACUUUUAAUACUACAGUGAUAAUUUCAGAAAAAUGAGCUUGAUUUUUAUAUUUAUUUUUAAAACUUUAAAACACCAUGCUGAAAACAUUUUUUUAUUGCAUUUAACGCUUCUGCUCAAGGCCAACAUCAGAGUCCAAGCUGUACCGAUUCUUACGGUACGCCACCGGUCACUUUCGAAAACCCGUUGAUUCGGUGGUCGACGUUUCCC